Molecule: ribosomal RNA, 553 nt
Filed under: Sphingomonas sp. Air333
Lineage: Bacteria; Pseudomonadati; Pseudomonadota; Alphaproteobacteria; Sphingomonadales; Sphingomonadaceae
Description: bacterial SSU rRNA
Rfam family: Bacterial small subunit ribosomal RNA
Source: RNAcentral
CUGCCCCUUGGUUCGGAAUAACAGUUGGAAACGACUGCUAAUACCGGAUGAUGACGUAAGUCCAAAGAUUUAUCGCCGAGGGAUGAGCCCGCGUAGGAUUAGGUAGUUGGUGUGGUAAAGGCGCACCAAGCCGACGAUCCUUAGCUGGUCUGAGAGGAUGAUCAGCCACACUGGGACUGAGACACGGCCCAGACUCCUACGGGAGGCAGCAGUGGGGAAUAUUGGACAAUGGGCGAAAGCCUGAUCCAGCAAUGCCGCGUGAGUGAUGAAGGCCUUAGGGUUGUAAAGCUCUUUUACCCGGGAUGAUAAUGACAGUACCGGGAGAAUAAGCUCCGGCUAACUCCGUGCCAGCAGCCGCGGUAAUACGGAGGGAGCUAGCGUUAUUCGGAAUUACUGGGCGUAAAGCGCACGUAGGCGGCUUUGUAAGUAAGAGGUGAAAGCCCAGAGCUCAACUCUGGAAUUGCCUUUUAGACUGCAUCGCUUGAAUCAUGGAGAGGUCAGUGGAAUUCCGAGUGUAGAGGUGAAAUUCGUAGAUAUUCGGAAGAACACCAGU